CUCUUGAUGGCACAGUUGGUAGCGCGUUGGACUGUAAAGGAAAUACAUUAGAGAUCCACAGGUCGUGUGUUCGAGUCACACUCAGGAGA
Xylariaceae sp. FL1651 is the source of this 89-nucleotide non-coding RNA. The record is from the annotation of a GenBank genome assembly. NCBI's taxonomy places the organism in Eukaryota, Fungi, Ascomycota, Sordariomycetes, Xylariales, Xylariaceae.